RNAcentral lists this ribosomal RNA (468 nucleotides) under uncultured bacterium. RNAcentral describes it as "partial 16S ribosomal RNA". It matches the Rfam family "Bacterial small subunit ribosomal RNA", at positions 28 to 507 of the family's 1533-position model. The record is from RNAcentral.
GACGAACGCUGGCGGCGUGCUUAACACAUGCAAGUCGAACGGAAAGGCCCUGCUUUUGUGGGGUGCUCGAGUGGCGAACGGGUGAGUAACACGUGAGUAACCUGCACCUGACAUUGGGAUAACUUCUGGAGACUGGGGCUAAAACCGGAUAGGAGAUCCUGCUGCAUGGUGUGGGUUGGUAAGUUUCGGCGGUUGGGGAUGGACUCGCGGCUUAUCAGCUUGUUGGUGUGGUAGGGGCUUACCAAGGGUUUGACGGGUAGCCGGCCUGAGAGGGGUGCCGGCCACAUUGGGACUGAGAUACGGACCAGACUCCUACGGGAGGCAGCAGUGGGGAGUAUUGCACAAUGGGCGGAAGCCUGAGGCGGCGACGCCGCGUGCGUGAUGACGGCCUUCGGGUGGUAAACCGCUUUCGCCUGUGACGAAGCGGGAGUGACGGUAAUGGGUAAGGAAGCACCGGCUAACUACGUG